CUAGGAAUUUUGCGCAAUGGGAGAAAUCCUGACGCAGCAACGCCGCGUGGGUGAGGAAGGCCUUCGGGUCGUAAAGCCCUUUUAGCAGGGAAGAAACAAGACGGUACCUGCAGAAAAAGCACCGGCUAACUCCGUGCCAGCAGCCGCGGUAAUACGGAGGGUGCAAGCGUUAUUCGGAAUCACUGGGCGUAAAGGGCGCGUAGGCUGUUUACUAAGUCCGAUGUGAAAGCCCCCGACUCAAUUGGGGAAGUGCAUUGGAUACUGGUAGACUAGAGUACAGGAGAGGAGAACGGAAUUCCCGGUGUAGAGGUGAAAUUCGUAGAUAUCGGGAGGAACAACAGAGGCGAAGGCGGUUCUCUGGACUGUUACUGACGCUGAGGCGCGAAAGCGUGGGGAGCAAACAGG
Molecule: ribosomal RNA, 405 nt
Filed under: uncultured bacterium
Lineage: Bacteria
Description: bacterial SSU rRNA
Rfam family: Bacterial small subunit ribosomal RNA
Source: RNAcentral